This 427-nucleotide ribosomal RNA is filed under the name uncultured bacterium. Its description in RNAcentral is "bacterial SSU rRNA". It matches the Rfam family "Bacterial small subunit ribosomal RNA", at positions 355 to 775 of the family's 1533-position model. The record is from RNAcentral.
UGGGGAAUCUUGCGCAAUGGGCGAAAGCCUGACGCAGCGACGCCGCGUGGGUGAUGAAGGCCUUCGGGUUGUAAAGCCCUGUGGAGGGAGAAGAAUAAGUCGUAGCGAACAGCUCCGAUGAUGACGGUAUCCCUUUAGCAAGCACCGGCUAACUCUGUGCCAGCAGCCGCGGUAAGACAGAGGGUGCAAACGUUGUUCGGAAUUACUGGGCGUAAAGCGCGUGUAGGCGGCUUGGCAAGUCGGGUGUGAAAGCCCCGGGCUCAACCUGGGAAGUGCACUCGAAACUGCUUCGCUUGAGUACUGGAGAGGGUAGUGGAAUUCUCGGUGUAGAGGUGAAAUUCGUAGAUAUCGAGAGGAACAUCGGUGGCGAAGGCGGCUACCUGGACAGUUACUGACGCUGAGACGCGAAAGCGUGGGGAGCAAACAG